AUUGAACGCUGGCGGCAGGCCUAACACAUGCAAGUCGAGCGGUAACAGAAAGUAGCUUGCUACUUUGCUGACGAGCGGCGGACGGGUGAGUAAUGCCUGGGAAUUUGCCCAUUCGAGGGGGAUAACAGUUGGAAACGACUGCUAAUACCGCAUACGCCCUACGGGGGAAAGGAGGGGACCUUCGGGCCUUCCGCGAAUGGAUAAGCCCAGGUGGGAUUAGCUAGUAGGUGAGGUAAUGGCUCACCUAGGCGACGAUCCCUAGCUGUUCUGAGAGGAUGAUCAGCCACACUGGGACUGAGACACGGGCCCAGACUCCUACGGGGAGCAGCAGUGGGGAAUAUGCACAAUGGGCAAAGCCUGAUGCAGCCAUGCCGCGUGUGUGAAGAAGGCCUUCGGGUUGUAAAGCACUUUCAGCGAGGAGGAAAGGUUACUGGCUAAUAUCCAGUAGCUGUGACG
RNAcentral lists this ribosomal RNA (456 nucleotides) under uncultured bacterium. Its description in RNAcentral is "bacterial SSU rRNA". It matches the Rfam family "Bacterial small subunit ribosomal RNA", at positions 30 to 474 of the family's 1533-position model. The record is from RNAcentral.